Molecule: long non-coding RNA, 832 nt
Filed under: Homo sapiens (human)
Lineage: Eukaryota; Metazoa; Chordata; Mammalia; Primates; Hominidae
Description: long non-coding RNA NONHSAT096265.2
Source: RNAcentral
GCCUGAUUAAGCAUUGACACUGCAUUUGUCACCACCAGCUCUGAUGGUUUGGACAUGUAGAAAUGUAUUGCAGGAGAAUAUGCAAACAGCUGCUGUAAGGUGAGCUGAUCGGGACAACUGCCAGCAGGCAGAAGGGAAGGCAUAAUUAAUGGGCACCCUUCAGCAGAGCUCAGAGCAGACCAAACGCCAAUGCAGAAGGCUCAAGAAAGAGGCAAACAGACUAGCCACUGCUCCAGGAUGACUGUGGCUCUUUAUGAGUGAAGAGAAAGGGUGGAGACUGAAGACAGAACUGGGGACAGUGACAGGCUUGGGGAAGAACAGCUGAUUCAGCAGUCCCAAGCAUCUGAACACAAGGUGGACAUUCUCCAGGGUGACAUCGCAAAAUACAUGGGUGAAGACAACCUAGUGGCCGUGACUUGGAGCACCCUUCCUCACAAUGAAGGCAUUCUGGGCCAGCCUGAAAAACAGCAUGGAAAUAAAUCACCUAAGUACAAGGGACUGGCUUAAAAAUGGUCUAAUGAAAUGUCAAAAGAGUUCUCCUGUGGAGCUUCGGAGAAGUUUCCUUACCCUUUAAAAAAAGAAAAGAAGAAAAGGAAAAGGUGAUGAUGAUGACACACAGAAGGCAUACACAUUUCCAUUUCUCCCUUUGGAAACUUUCAUGUCUGGGUUGAGAAGUUAACAGAAAGGCAAACAGCCUGAGGUCAAAGAUGACACACUGAGGAUAACAAAAUGGAAAGACAAUCUGAGCUCUUGAUGAUGUGUGACUGAAUGAGCCAAAUUAAACAACUAUAGAGCUGUUCUACUUCCAAUCUAAUUAUGUGAGGGAUAAAUG